RNAcentral lists this ribosomal RNA (484 nucleotides) under uncultured bacterium. RNAcentral's name for it is "partial 16S ribosomal RNA". It matches the Rfam family "Bacterial small subunit ribosomal RNA", at positions 30 to 507 of the family's 1533-position model. The record is from RNAcentral.
AUUGAACGCUAGCGGGAUGCUUUACACAUGCAAGUCGAACGGCAGCGCGGACUUCGGUCUGGCGGCGAGUGGCGAACGGGUGAGUAAUGUAUCGGAACGUGCCCAGUAGCGGGGGAUAACUACGCGAAAGCGUAGCUAAUACCGCAUACGCCCCACGGGGGAAAGCAGGGGAUCGUAAGACCUUGCACUAUUGGAGCGGCCGAUAUCGGAUUAGCUAGUUGGUGAGGUAACGGCUCACCAAGGCGACGAUCCGUAGCUGGUUUGAGAGGACGACCAGCCACACUGGGACUGAGACACGGCCCAGACUCCUACGGGAGGCAGCAGUGGGGAAUUUUGGACAAUGGGGGCAACCCUGAUCCAGCCAUCCCGCGUGUGCGAUGAAGGCCUUCGGGUUGUAAAGCACUUUUGGCAGGAAAGAAACGUCGCGGGCUAAUACCCCGUGGAACUGACGGUACCUGCAGAAUAAGCACCGGCUAACUACGUG